This 349-nucleotide ribosomal RNA is filed under the name Sceloporus jarrovii (Yarrow's spiny lizard). Its description in RNAcentral is "partial 12S ribosomal RNA". It matches the Rfam family "Bacterial small subunit ribosomal RNA", at positions 848 to 1363 of the family's 1533-position model. The record is from RNAcentral. Lineage: Eukaryota; Metazoa; Chordata; Lepidosauria; Squamata; Phrynosomatidae.
GAUAUUAUAAUACUAAAAUAUCCGCCAGAAAACUACGAGCGAAAAGCUUAAAACUCAAAGGACUUGGCGGUGCUCCAUACCGACUUAGAGGAGCCUGUCCUAUAAUCGAUACCCCACGCUAUACCUCACCAAUCUUCGCCCAACCAGCCUAUAUACCGCCGUCGUCAACCUACCUCAUGAGAGAAAAACAGUAGGUGCAAAAGUCCCGUAACUAAAACGUCAGGUCAAGGUGUAGCUUAUAGAUUGGAAGAGAUGGGCUACAUUUUUUAAAAUAAAAAACACGGCAUGGUACUAUGAAACUUCUACCUAAAGGAGGAUUUAACAGUAAAACUAACAAGAAAAUUAAUUU